RNAcentral lists this ribosomal RNA (465 nucleotides) under uncultured bacterium. RNAcentral describes it as "partial 16S ribosomal RNA". It matches the Rfam family "Bacterial small subunit ribosomal RNA", at positions 28 to 507 of the family's 1533-position model. The record is from RNAcentral.
GAUGAACGCUGGCGGCGUGCUUAACACAUGCAAGUCGAACGAUGAAGCUCAGCUUGCUGGGUGGAUUAGUGGCGAACGGGUGAGUAACACGUGAGUAACCUGCCCUUAACUCUGGGAUAAGCCUGGGAAACUAGGUCUAAUACCGGAUAGGAGCGCCUACCGCAUGGUGGGUGUUGGAAAGAUUUAUCGGUUUUGGAUGGACUCGCGGCCUAUAGCUUGUUGGUGAGGUAAUGGCUCACCAAGGCGACGACGGGUAGCCGGCCUGGGAGGGUGACCGGCCACACUGGGACUGAGACAGGGCCCAGACUCCUACGGGAGGCAGCAGUGGGGAAUAUUGCACAAUGGGCGAAAGCCUGAUGCAGCGACGCCGCGUGAGGGAUGACGGCCUUCGGGUUGUAAACCUCUUUCAGUAGGGAAGAAGCGAAAGUGACGGUACCUGCAGAAGAAGCACCGGCUAACUACGUG